GAUGAAGAACGUAGCGAAAUGCGAUAAUUAAUGUGAAUUGCAGAAUUCCGUGAAUCAUCGAAUCUUUGAACGCACAUUGCGCCUUCUGGUAUUCCGGAAGGCAUGCCUGUUCGAGAGUCAUUAACAACCGUUUCGAUCCCUUUCUUUCAGAAAUUACAAAGAGGAAAAGGGUUUGGUUAUGGUGGAGGAGGGAAAGGGAGCGUUUAGCCUGUAAAAAAAGAGGCUGUGUUCCGCCUCCCCCCCAAAAUUGUACAGGCGGUCGUGUGCGCCCACGCAUCGAGGUGUUGUAAAAGCUGCCACGGCACUUUUCACCUGUGCAGUGCGAGAUUGGCCAGCCGGUUUAAAAACCCCUCCAAACAAUCAAUGGUUGACCUCGGAUCAGGUAGGGAUACCCGCUGAACUUAAGCAUAUCAAUAAGCGGAGGA
This 425-nucleotide unclassified non-coding RNA is filed under the name soil metagenome. RNAcentral's name for it is "partial contains 5.8S ribosomal RNA, internal transcribed spacer 2, and large subunit ribosomal RNA". The stretch from base 1 to 120 matches the Rfam family "5.8S ribosomal RNA", at positions 35 to 154 of the family's 154-position model. The record is from RNAcentral.